Molecule: ribosomal RNA, 458 nt
Filed under: uncultured Desulfobulbus sp.
Lineage: Bacteria; Pseudomonadati; Thermodesulfobacteriota; Desulfobulbia; Desulfobulbales; Desulfobulbaceae
Description: bacterial SSU rRNA
Rfam family: Bacterial small subunit ribosomal RNA
Source: RNAcentral
CGGUGGAGUAGUGUGGUUUAAUUCGAUGCAACGCGAAGAACCUUACCUGGUCUUGACAUCCCGGAGACCCUUAGGAAACUAGGGGUGCUUCCAUCUGGAAGAAUCUGGAGACAGGUGCUGCAUGGCUGUCGUCAGCUCGUGUCGUGAGAUGUUGGGUUAAGUCCCGCAACGAGCGCAACCCUUGCCUUUAGUUGCCAGCAGUUCGGCUGGGCACUCUAAAGGGACUGCCGGUGUUAAACCGGAGGAAGGUGGGGAUGACGUCAAGUCCUCAUGGCCUUUAUGACCAGGGCUACACACGUACUACAAUGGCCGAUACAAAGGGCAGCGACACUGCGAGGUGAAGCCAAUCCCGUAAAAUCGGUCUCAGUCCGGAUUGGAGUCUGCAACUCGACUCCAUGAAGUUGGAAUCGCUAGUAAUCGUGGAUCAGCAUGCCACGGUGAAUACGUUCCCGGGCCUU